RNAcentral lists this ribosomal RNA (208 nucleotides) under uncultured bacterium. RNAcentral's name for it is "partial 16S ribosomal RNA". It matches the Rfam family "Bacterial small subunit ribosomal RNA", at positions 568 to 775 of the family's 1533-position model. The record is from RNAcentral.
CGCGUAGGCGGCCUGUUAAGUCUGGAGUGAAAGUCCCGCUUUCAAGGUGGGAAUUGCUUUGGAUACUGAUGGGCUUGAGUGCAGGAGAGGAAAGCGGAAUUACCGGUGUAGCGGUGAAAUGCGUAGAGAUCGGUAGGAACACCAGUGGCGAAGGCGGCUUUCUGGACUGAAACUGACGCUGAGGCGCGAAAGCGUGGGGAGCAAACAG